RNAcentral lists this ribosomal RNA (233 nucleotides) under uncultured bacterium. RNAcentral describes it as "partial 16S ribosomal RNA". It matches the Rfam family "Bacterial small subunit ribosomal RNA", at positions 524 to 755 of the family's 1533-position model. The record is from RNAcentral.
UACGUAGGGGGCAAGCGUUGUCCGGAUUCAUUGGGCGUAAAGAGCGUGUAGGCGGCCAGGUAGGUCGGUUGUGAAAACUGGAGGCUCAACCUUCAGAGGUCGACCGAAACCAUCUGGCUAGAGUCCGGGAGAGGAGAGUGGAAUUCCUGGUGGUAGCGGUGAAAUGCGCAGAUAUCAGGAGGAACACCAAUUGCGAAGGCAGCUCGCUGGAACGUAACUGACGCUGAGACGCG